UCCCUGGCAGUCCAGUGGUUAGGACUCCACCUAGUCUUUCACUGCUGAGGGCCCAGGUUCAAUUCCUGGUUAGGGAA
Molecule: non-coding RNA, 77 nt
Organism: Bos taurus (domestic cattle)
Lineage: Eukaryota; Metazoa; Chordata; Mammalia; Artiodactyla; Bovidae
Source: Rfam